Molecule: ribosomal RNA, 1346 nt
Filed under: uncultured bacterium
Lineage: Bacteria
Description: partial 16S ribosomal RNA
Rfam family: Bacterial small subunit ribosomal RNA
Source: RNAcentral
GACGAACGCUGGCGGCGUGCUUAACACAUGCAAGUCGAACGGAAAGGCCCUGCUUUUGUGGGGUGCUCGAGUGGCGAACGGGUGAGUAACACGUGAGUAACCUGCCCUUGACUUUGGGAUAACUUCAGGAAACUGGGGCUAAUACCGGAUAGGAGCUCCUGCUGCAUGGUGGGGGUUGGAAAGUUUCGGCGGUUGGGGAUGGACUCGCGGCUUAUCAGCUUGUUGGUGGGGUAGUGGCUUACCAAGGCUUUGACGGGUAGCCGGCCUGAGAGGGUGACCGGCCACAUUGGGACUGAGAUACGGCCCAGACUCCUACGGGAGGCAGCAGUGGGGAAUAUUGCACAAUGGGCGGAAGCCUGAUGCAGCAACGCCGCGUGCGGGAUGACGGCCUUCGGGUUGUAAACCGCUUUCGCCUGUGACGAAGCGUGAGUGACGGUAAUGGGUAAAGAAGCACCGGCUAACUACGUGCCAGCAGCCGCGGUGAUACGUAGGGUGCGAGCGUUGUCCGGAUUUAUUGGGCGUAAAGGGUUCGUAGGUGGUUGAUCGCGUCGGAAGUGUAAUCUUGGGGCUUAACCCUGAGCGUGCUUUCGAUACGGGUUGACUUGAGGAAGGUAGGGGAGAAUGGAAUUCCUGGUGGAGCGGUGGAAUGCGCAGAUAUCAGGAGGAACACCAGUGGCGAAGGCGGUUCUCUGGGCCUUUCCUGACGCUGAGGAGCGAAAGCGUGGGGAGCGAACAGGCUUAGAUACCCUGGUAGUCCACGCUGUAAACGGUGGGUACUAGGUGUGGGGUCCAUUCCACGGGUUCCGUGCCGUAGCUAACGCUUUAAGUACCCCGCCUGGGGAGUACGGCCGCAAGGCUAAAACUCAAAGGAAUUGACGGGGCCCCGCACAAGCGGCGGAGCAUGCGGAUUAAUUCGAUGCAACGCGUAGAACCUUACCUGGGUUUGACAUGGAUCGGGAGUGCUCAGAGAUGGGUGUGCCUCUUUUGGGGUCGGUUCACAGGUGGUGCAUGGCUGUCGUCAGCUCGUGUCGUGAGAUGUUGGGUUAAGUCCCGCAACGAGCGCAACCCUUGUUCACUGUUGCCAGCACGUUAUGGUGGGGACUCAGUGGAGACCGCCGGGGUCAACUCGGAGGAAGGUGGGGAUGACGUCAAGUCAUCAUGCCCCUUAUGUCCAGGGCUUCACGCAUGCUACAAUGGCUGGUACAGAGAGUGGCGAGCCUGUGAGGGUGAGCGAAUCUCGGAAAGCCGGUCUCAGUUCGGAUUGGGGUCUGCAACUCGACCUCAUGAAGUCGGAGUCGCUAGUAAUCGCAGAUCAGCAACGCUGCGGUGAAUACGUUCCCGGGGCU